GGGUGGUAAUGCCGGAUGCUCCGGUUGGAUGCAUGUCCUUCCGGGAAAGAUUCUAUCGGUAUGGGAUGGGGUCGCGUCCUAUCAGCUUGAUGGCGGGGUAACGGCCCACCAUGGCUUCGACGGGUAGCCGGCCUGAGAGGGCGACCGGCCACAUUGGGACUGAGAUACGGCCCAGACUCCUACGGGAGGCAGCAGUGGGGAAUAUUGCACAAUGGGCGCAAGCCUGAUGCAGCGACGCCGCGUGCGGGAUGGAGGCCUUCGGGUUGUAAACCGCUUUUGAUCGGGAGCAAGCCCUUCGGGGUGAGUGUACCUUUCGAAUAAGCACCGGCUAACUACGUGCCAGCAGCCGCGGUAAUACGUAGGGUGCAAGCGUUAUCCGGAAUUAUUGGGCGUAAAGGGCUCGUAGGCGGUUCGUCGCGUCCGGUGUGAAAGCCCAUCGCUUAACGGUGGGUCUGCGCCGGGUACGGGCGGGCUGGAGUGCGGUAGGGGAGACUGGAAUUCCCGGUGUAACGGUGGAAUGUGUAGAUAUC
Molecule: ribosomal RNA, 530 nt
Filed under: Bifidobacterium dentium
Lineage: Bacteria; Bacillati; Actinomycetota; Actinomycetes; Bifidobacteriales; Bifidobacteriaceae
Description: bacterial SSU rRNA
Rfam family: Bacterial small subunit ribosomal RNA
Source: RNAcentral